ACUCACUUGAGUAGCAUAUACUAAAAUCAGAACAAAUAGAAAAAAUUAGUUUGGCGCCUGCACAAGAAUAACAUGCAAAUUUGUGAAGCACUCUGUAUUUUU
Molecule: small nuclear RNA, 102 nt
Organism: Neomonachus schauinslandi (Hawaiian monk seal)
Lineage: Eukaryota; Metazoa; Chordata; Mammalia; Carnivora; Phocidae
Source: RefSeq, a predicted model, not a curated record